This 174-nucleotide ribosomal RNA is filed under the name uncultured Dactylosporangium sp. Its description in RNAcentral is "partial 16S ribosomal RNA". It matches the Rfam family "Bacterial small subunit ribosomal RNA", at positions 338 to 524 of the family's 1533-position model. Lineage: Bacteria; Bacillati; Actinomycetota; Actinomycetes; Micromonosporales; Micromonosporaceae. The record is from RNAcentral.
CCUACGGGAGGCAGCAGUGGGGAAUAUUGCACAAUGGGCGGAAGCCUGAUGCAGCGACGCCGCGUGAGGGAUGAAGGCCUUCGGGUUGUAAACCUCUUUCGACAGGGACGAAGCGCAAGUGACGGUACCUGGAGAAGAAGCGCCGGCCAACUACGUGCCAGCAGCCGCGGUAAU